UACGUAGGGGGCAAGCGUUGUCCGGAUUUAUUGGGCGUAAAGAGCGUGUAGGCGGUUGGGUAGGUCCGUUGUGAAAACUCGAGCUCAACCUCGAGACGCCGAUGGAAACCCCCCAGCUAGAGUCCGGAAGAGGAGAGUGGAAUUCCUGGUGUAGCGGUGAAAUGCGCAGAUAUCAGGAAGAACACCCGUGGCUAAGGCGGCUCUCUAGUACGGUACUGACGCUGAGACGCGAAAAGCGUGGGGAGCAAACAGG
RNAcentral lists this ribosomal RNA (253 nucleotides) under uncultured bacterium. RNAcentral describes it as "partial 16S ribosomal RNA". It matches the Rfam family "Bacterial small subunit ribosomal RNA", at positions 524 to 776 of the family's 1533-position model. The record is from RNAcentral.